UACGAAGGGGGCUAGCGUUGCUCGGAAUCACUGGGCGUAAAGGGUGCGUAGGCGGGUCUUUAAGUCAGGGGUGAAAUCCUGGAGCUCAACUCCAGAACUGCCUUUGAUACUGAAGAUCUUGAGUUCGGGAGAGGUGAGUGGAACUGCGAGUGUAGAGGUGAAAUUCGUAGAUAUCCGCAAGAACACCAGUGGCGAAGGCGGCUCACUGGCCCGAUACUGACGCUGAUGCACGAAAGCGUGGGGAGCAAACAGG
RNAcentral lists this ribosomal RNA (253 nucleotides) under uncultured bacterium. Its description in RNAcentral is "partial 16S ribosomal RNA". It matches the Rfam family "Bacterial small subunit ribosomal RNA", at positions 524 to 776 of the family's 1533-position model. The record is from RNAcentral.